Molecule: ribosomal RNA, 1270 nt
Filed under: Vibrio parahaemolyticus
Lineage: Bacteria; Pseudomonadati; Pseudomonadota; Gammaproteobacteria; Vibrionales; Vibrionaceae
Description: partial 23S ribosomal RNA
Rfam family: Bacterial large subunit ribosomal RNA
Source: RNAcentral
CGAACCGGGGGAACUGAAACAUCUAAGUACCCCGAGGAAAAGAAAUCAACCGAGAUUCCGAAAGUAGCGGCGAGCGAAAUUGGACUAGCCCUUAAGCUUUACACGCGUUAGACGAACGGUCUGGAAAGUCCGACGAUACAGGGUGAUAGUCCCGUAGUUGACGACGUGUGUUCAGUGAAAUCGAGUAGGGCGGGACACGUGAUAUCCUGUCUGAAUAUGGGGGGACCAUCCUCCAAGGCUAAAUACUACUGACUGACCGAUAGUGAACCAGUACCGUGAGGGAAAGGCGAAAAGAACCCCUGUGAGGGGAGUGAAAUAGAACCUGAAACCGUGUACGUACAAGCAGUAGGAGCAGGCUUUGUCCUGUGACUGCGUACCUUUUGUAUAAUGGGUCAGCGACUUAUAUUCAGUGGCAAGGUUAACCAUCUAGGGGAGCCGUAGGGAAACCGAGUCUUAACUGGGCGUUCAGUCUCUGGAUAUAGACCCGAAACCAGGUGAUCUAGCCAUGGGCAGGUUGAAGGUUGAGUAACAUCAACUGGAGGACCGAACCGACUAAUGUUGAAAAAUUAGCGGAUGACUUGUGGCUAGGGGUGAAAGGCCAAUCAAACCUGGAGAUAGCUGGUUCUCCCCGAAAGCUAUUUAGGUAGCGCCUCGGACGAAUACUACUGGGGGUAGAGCACUGUUAAGGCUAGGGGGUCAUCCCGACUUACCAACCCUUUGCAAACUCCGAAUACCAGUAAGUACUAUCCGGGAGACACACGGCGGGUGCUAACGUCCGUCGUGGAGAGGGAAACAACCCAGACCGCCAGCUAAGGUCCCAAAUUACUACUAAGUGGGAAACGAUGUGGGAAGGCUCAGACAGCCAGGAUGUUGGCUUAGAAGCAGCCAUCAUUUAAAGAAAGCGUAAUAGCUCACUGGUCGAGUCGGCCUGCGCGGAAGAUGUAACGGGGCUAAGUAGUAAACCGAAGCUGCGGCAAUAUACUUUUGUAUAUUGGGUAGGGGAGCGUUCUGUAAGCGGUUGAAGGUGUGUGGUAACGCAUGCUGGACGUAUCAGAAGUGCGAAUGCUGACAUGAGUAACGAUAAAGGGGGUGAAAAACCUCCUCGCCGGAAGACCAAGGGUUCCUGUCCAACGUUAAUCGGGGCAGGGUAAGUCGACCCCUAAGGCGAGGCCGAAAGGCGUAGUCGAUGGGAAACGGGUUAAUAUUCCCGUACUUCUUACAAUUGCGAUGGGGGGACGGAGAAGGCUAGGUGGGCCUGGCGACGGUUGUC